GACGAACGCUGGCGGCGUGCUUAACACAUGCAAGUCGAACGGAAAGGCCCUGCUUUUGUGGGGUGCUCGAGUGGCGAACGGGUGAGUAACACGUGAGUAACCUGCCCUUGACUUUGGGAUAACUUCAGGAAACUGGGGCUAAUACCGGAUAGGAGCUCCUGCUGCAUGGUGGGGGUUGGAAAGUUUCGGCGGUUGGGGAUGGACUCGCGGCUUAUCAGCUUGUUGGUGGGGUAGUGGCUUACCAAGGCUUUGACGGGUAGCCGGCCUGAGAGGGUGACCGGCCACAUUGGGACUGAGAUACGGCCCAGACUCCUACGGGAGGCAGCGGUGGGGAAUAUUGCACAAUGGGCGGAAGCCUGAUGCAGCAACGCCGCGUGCGGGAGGACGGCCUUCGGGUUGUAAACCGCUUUCGCCUGUGACGAAGCGUGAGUGACGGGAAUGGGGAAAGAAGCACCGGCUAACUACGU
Molecule: ribosomal RNA, 467 nt
Filed under: uncultured bacterium
Lineage: Bacteria
Description: partial 16S ribosomal RNA
Rfam family: Bacterial small subunit ribosomal RNA
Source: RNAcentral